GACGAACGCUGGCGGCAUGCCUAACACAUGCAAGUCGAACGGAGAUUAUUUCGAUAAUCUUAGUGGCGAACGGGUGAGUAACGCGUGGGCAACCUGCCCUCUAGAUGGGGACAACAUCCCGAAGGGGGUGCUAAUACCGAAUGUGACAGCAAUCUCGCAUGAGGAUGCUGUGAAAGAUGGCCUCUAUUUAUAAGCUAUCGCUAGAGGAUGGGCCUGCGUCUGAUUAGCUAGUUGGUGGGGUAACGGCCUACCAAGGCGAUGAUCAGUAGCCGGUCUGAGAGGAUGAACGGCCACAUUGGGACUGAGACACGGCCCAGACUCCUACGGGAGGCAGCAGUGGGGAAUCUUUCGCAAUGGGCGAAAGCCUGACGGAGCAAUGCCGCGUGAGUGAUGAAGGAAUUCGUUCCGUAAAGCUCUUUUGUUUAUGACGAAUGUGCAGGUUGUGAACAAUGAUCUGUAA
Molecule: ribosomal RNA, 460 nt
Filed under: uncultured bacterium
Lineage: Bacteria
Description: bacterial SSU rRNA
Rfam family: Bacterial small subunit ribosomal RNA
Source: RNAcentral